Non-coding RNA from Daphnia carinata, 64 nucleotides. The record is from the annotation of a RefSeq genome assembly. Lineage: Eukaryota; Metazoa; Arthropoda; Branchiopoda; Diplostraca; Daphniidae.
GAUAGAAUAGUUUAAAAAAAACUUUUAAAUUGCAAAUUUAAAAAUGAGAUUCACUCUUCUAUUU